GACGAACGCUGGCGGCGUGCUUAACACAUGCAAGUCGAACGGGGCGAAGUGAUAGCUUGCUAUUAUGGAGCCUAGUGGCAAACGGGUGAGUAACGCGUAGGCAACCUGCCCUUCAGAUGGGGACAACACCUCGAAAGGGGUGCUAAUACCGAAUGACGUUUCCUGGUCGCAUGACCUGGAAACCAAAGAUUUAUCGCUGAAAGAUGGGCUCGCGUCUGAUUAGAUAGUUGGUGAGGUAACGGCUCACCAAGGCGACGAUCAGUAGCCGGUCUGAGAGGAUGAACGGCCACAUUGGGACUGAGACACGGCCCAAACUCCUACGGGAGGCAGCAGUGGGGAAUAUUGGUCAAUGGGC
Molecule: ribosomal RNA, 355 nt
Filed under: uncultured bacterium
Lineage: Bacteria
Description: bacterial SSU rRNA
Rfam family: Bacterial small subunit ribosomal RNA
Source: RNAcentral